GAGGGAGAUCCCGCCGCACUGGUACCGAGACACGGACCAGACUCCUACGGGAGGCAGCAGUGAGGAAUAUUGGUCAAUGGAGGCAACUCUGAACCAGCCAUGCCGCGUGCAGGAAGACUGCCCUAUGGGUUGUAAACUGCUUUUAUACAGGAAGAAACUUAUCCACGUGUGGGUAACUGACGGUACUGUACGAGAUAAGG
Molecule: ribosomal RNA, 200 nt
Filed under: uncultured Actibacter sp.
Lineage: Bacteria; Pseudomonadati; Bacteroidota; Flavobacteriia; Flavobacteriales; Flavobacteriaceae
Description: partial 16S ribosomal RNA
Rfam family: Bacterial small subunit ribosomal RNA
Source: RNAcentral